This 1147-nucleotide ribosomal RNA is filed under the name uncultured bacterium. RNAcentral describes it as "bacterial SSU rRNA". It matches the Rfam family "Bacterial small subunit ribosomal RNA", at positions 40 to 1181 of the family's 1533-position model. The record is from RNAcentral.
CUACAGGCUUAACACAUGCAAGUCGAGGGGCAGCAUUUUAGUUUGCUUGCAAACUGAAGAUGGCGACCGGCGCACGGGUGAGUAACACGUAUCCAACCUGCCGAUAACUCCGGAAUAGCCUUUCGAAAGAAAGAUUAAUACCGGAUAGUAUACGAAUAUCGCAUGGUAUUUUUAUUAAAGAAUUUCGGUUAUCGAUGGGGAUGCGUUCCAUUAGUUUGUUGGCGGGGUAACGGCCCACCAAGACUACGAUGGAUAGGGGUUCUGAGAGGAAGGUCCCCCACAUUGGAACUGAGACACGGUCCAAACUCCUACGGGAGGCAGCAGUGAGGAAUAUUGGUCAAUGGGCGAGAGCCUGAACCAGCCAAGUAGCGUGAAGGAUGAAGGCUCUAUGGGUCGUAAACUUCUUUUAUAUGGGAAUAAAGUUUUCCACGUGUGGAAUUUUGUAUGUACCAUAUGAAUAAGGAUCGGCUAACUCCGUGCCAGCAGCCGCGGUAAUACGGAGGAUCCGAGCGUUAUCCGGAUUUAUUGGGUUUAAAGGGAGCGUAGGUGGAUUGUUAAGUCAGUUGUGAAAGUUUGCGGCUCAACCGUAAAAUUGCAGUUGAAACUGGCAGUCUUGAGUACAGUAGAGGUGGGCGGAAUUCGUGGUGUAGCGGUGAAAUGCUUAGAUAUCACGAAGAACUCCGAUUGCGAAGGCAGCUCACUAGACUGUUACUGACACUGAUGCUCGAAAGUGUGGGUAUCAAACAGGAUUAGAUACCCUGGUAGUCCACACAGUAAACGAUGAAUACUCGCUGUUUGCGAUAUACAGUAAGCGGCCAAGCGAAAGCAUUAAGUAUUCCACCUGGGGAGUACGCCGGCAACGGUGAAACUCAAAGGAAUUGACGGGGGCCCGCACAAGCGGAGGAACAUGUGGUUUAAUUCGAUGAUACGCGAGGAACCUUACCCGGGCUUAAAUUGCAACAGAAUAUAUUGGAAACAGUAUAGCCGUAAGGCUGUUGUGAAGGUGCUGCAUGGUUGUCGUCAGCUCGUGCCGUGAGGUGUCGGCUUAAGUGCCAUAACGAGCGCAACCCUUAUCUUUAGUUACUAACAGGUUAUGCUGAGGACUCUAGAGAGACUGCCGUCGUAAGAUGUGAGGAAGGUGGGGAUG